This 73-nucleotide transfer RNA is filed under the name Bos taurus (domestic cattle). It matches the Rfam family "tRNA". From Rfam's summary of the family: Transfer RNA (tRNA) molecules are approximately 80 nucleotides in length. Lineage: Eukaryota; Metazoa; Chordata; Mammalia; Artiodactyla; Bovidae. RNAcentral also lists the same sequence under 2 other names. The record is from Rfam by way of RNAcentral.
UCCCUGGCAGUCCAGUGGUUAGGACUCCAUGCUUUCACUACGGCAGGCACAGGUUCAAUCCCUGGUUAGGGAA